CUGUCUAGGUAUCCCCUUUUCCCUUAUGAUGCUUUUAUAUUUUUGUUAAGUAUAUAUUAUAUUUCUCUACUUUAUUUGUGAAUCUUUUUUUCAAAAAUGUCAACAAAAGGGAAUGGAUACAUAGAGGACGAUGCUAAAGGUUUUGCAGAUGCCCUGGCAGUAAGUGAAUAGAAAUUACAUUUACAAAAUGCAGGCAUAUUGAUGAUAUUACUGUCAUUGGAGUCUAUAGCUAGCUACUUGCAAUAUCUCUCCCUUUUGAACAACUACAGAGUGAAGGAGCUGGACUUGAGCCACAAUCAGUUCUGUGGGAGAAGUGGGGAGCAUCUGGGGCAGAUGUUAGGUAGAGACCAUUUCACUUUAUGUCUGCAUCUCACAUCAUUACGGUUGAGCAGUCUCAUGGAGUCAUUUGGGUUACAAUCAUUCACAAUGUGAGUGUUUAGCGUUUUGCAUCUGCUGUCACUGACCUUGUAAUCCUAUAGCAAAUUAUGAAGGUCUGGCGGUACUAGACUUAAGCUGGAACAUCUGCAAAUGAAAGGAGCUGUGGCUUUCUGUGCCGGUCACAAGGUGUGGAUAAACAUACUCAUCCCAAUUCCCACAUCCAAAGUGUAAUUGUUCCUUUAAAAAAAAAUAGUUACCGGUAAACAGUAUGUGAUGAAGAUAUUUCCUCUUCACAAAGGUGAAUGUGACCCUGAAACACCUAGACCUGUCCUGGAAUGUCUUUGGGAAUAAGGGGCCUUGACUUUAAGAGAGGCACUGAAAUUCAGCAACACUCUGGUAUUGAAAUAUCUAGACCUCAACUACAACCGCAUCACCAAUGAGGGGGUGGGCAUGCAGUGCAAGGGCUGGAGGCCAACGACACUCUUGGAGUGCUGACAGUAGGUGCUUGAUUGACAGGGCUCACAUCCACUGACCUGUGUGGUGUGGAACUAGGGUGACUUUAGAUGUUUUGUGUCCCUGCAGCUGACUUAUAACUCUCUGACAGUGGAGGGGUGCUGGCUCUUGUCACUGUGGUCAAGAACACGCCCAGAACUGCUCUGGAGGAGUUCAACAUAUCUAAUCCAGUCUAGAGGUGCUGUAUGGAGGUGUCAGAGGCUUUAUCGCUAAGAAAACAUCCAAAUGCCUUGACCCAGGAUUAUCUGGAUCAACAAAAGCUGCACCUUUGGGACUGUCCCAAAAAGAUGGGACAAUGCAAGUGCCUGUAGCAGACUUCAGGAAGGCUGUGCAGCUCUCAAACUAAUUGCUCAUCCCAUAGUCUCUGACAUUUGCAGGGUCUGUUGAGCUAAUGCAUUUCCACUGCUCGAAGAUACCCCGGAAUACCCUCACUUGCAUGUACUCGUAUGAGUGGUUUCUGUAAUGUUAUUCUC
Molecule: long non-coding RNA, 1364 nt
Organism: Oncorhynchus nerka (sockeye salmon)
Lineage: Eukaryota; Metazoa; Chordata; Actinopteri; Salmoniformes; Salmonidae
Exons: 3
Source: RefSeq, a predicted model, not a curated record